Molecule: unclassified non-coding RNA, 1082 nt
Filed under: Hevea brasiliensis (rubber tree)
Lineage: Eukaryota; Viridiplantae; Streptophyta; Magnoliopsida; Malpighiales; Euphorbiaceae
Source: RNAcentral
UGCGACUCCUGUGCUCAUUGGACUCACACGGACUGCGCAAUUCGUGAUAAACAAAUUGGAACAGGUCCUUCUUCUGUGAAUGGGCUGGGGUCUGCUGAAAUGCAGUUCAGGUGUAGAGCAUGCAAUCGCACUUCUGAGCUUUUUGGUUGGGUGAAAGAUGUAUUCCAACAAUGUGCACCUACCUGGAAUGGGGAAUCAUUGAUAAGAGAACUAACUGUUGUAAGUAAGAUCUUUCGACUGAGUGAGAACACAAGAGGGAGGCAGCUGUUUUGGAAGUCUGAGGAGCUCAUAGAAAAACUAAAGGGUGGAGUGGCAGAGACAACAGCUUGCAGGAUUAUAUUAACUUUUCUCCAAGAGCUUGAGAUGGACUCAUCAAGGAGCUCUGAGGCUGGAAAUAAAGAAAGGAUGAUUCCACCCCAGGAGGCAUGCAACCGAAUUGCUGCAGUGGUACAAGAAGCAGUGCAGACAAUGGGAGUAGUGGCUGAUGAAAAAUUGAGGAUGCUAAAGAAAGCUCGCCAAGCUCUCGAGACAUGUGAUCAUGAACUGGAGGAAAAAGCUAAAGAAGUUUCAGAACUUAAACUGGAGAGGCAACGAAAAAGACUACAAAUUGAUGAAUUAGAGAGCAUUGCUAGGCUUAAAGAAGCAGAAGCAGAUAUGUUCCAGCUCAAGGCAGAUGAGGCAAGACGAGAAGCUGACAGGUUGCAGAGGAUUGCUCUUGCAAAAUCAGGGAAAUCAGAAGAAGAUUAUGCCAGUAGUUACCUUAAACAACGUCUUAGCGAGGCUGAAGCUGAGAAACAAUUCCUUUUCGAGAAGAUUAAACUUCAAGAUCAGAGUUCUCGUUCAUCACAAGGCAAUGACAUCGGUGACAGUUCACAAGAACUUUACUCUAAAAUACAAGAGAUCCUAAAGAGUGUGUAGAAAUCCCAGUAAAGCCAGAGACAACCAGCCAAAUGAACAUCAUUGUAAGUUGCCUGAUCAUUGUUCAUGGUUUGUGUCAUUUUAACUUAAUACUUUAAAUAAUACAUUACCUAAAACCUUGUAUAAUUGAUUAAUUUUGCUUUUAAAGUACCACUGUAUUGUUG